This is a small nucleolar RNA of Marmota marmota marmota (Alpine marmot), 129 nucleotides long. The record is from Ensembl. Lineage: Eukaryota; Metazoa; Chordata; Mammalia; Rodentia; Sciuridae.
AUGCCUCUCUUUGACAGACCUGGAGCAAUUACUGUCUGCUGCUAAGGCUUCCAUUACAGAUGCAGGAAGGAAGUGUCCUCCUGUUUUUUGUCUGACUGUGGCAGCCAAGAUAGAGGGAGAGAAAAGAAG